Molecule: ribosomal RNA, 253 nt
Filed under: uncultured bacterium
Lineage: Bacteria
Description: partial 16S ribosomal RNA
Rfam family: Archaeal small subunit ribosomal RNA
Source: RNAcentral
UACCAGCACCCCGAGUGGUCGGGACGUUUAUUGGGCCUAAAGCAUCCGUAGCCGGUUCUACAAGUCUUCCGUUAAAUCCACCUGCUUAACAGAUGGGCUGCGGAAGAUACUAUAGAGCUAGGAGGCGGGAGAGGCAAGCGGUACUCGAUGGGUAGGGGUAAAAUCCGUUGAUCCAUUGAAGACCACCAGUGGCGAAGGCGGCUUGCCAGAACGCGCUCGACGGUGAGGGAUGAAAGCUGGGGGGAGCAACCGG